Molecule: ribosomal RNA, 445 nt
Filed under: uncultured bacterium
Lineage: Bacteria
Description: partial 16S ribosomal RNA
Rfam family: Bacterial small subunit ribosomal RNA
Source: RNAcentral
CGAACGCUGGCGGCAGGCCUAAUACAUGCAAGUCGAACGGCUCUUCGGAGAAGUGGCGGACGGGUGAGUAACGCGUGGGAAUGUGCCCCUAGGUACGGAACAACCCAGGGAAACUUGUGCUAAUACCGUAUGUGCCCUUCGGGGGAAAGAUUUAUCGCCUUUGGAGCCGCCCGCGUUGGAUUAGGUAGUUGGUGAGGUAAAGGCUCACCAAGCCGACGAGCCAUAGCUGGUCUGAGAGGAUGACCAGCCACACUGGGACUGAGACACGGCCCAGACUCCUGCGGGAGGCAGCAGUAGGGAAUCUUGCGCAAUGGGCGAGAGCCUGACGCAGCCAUGCCGCGUGUAUGAUGAAGGUCCUAGGAUUGUAAAAUACUUUCACCGGGGAAGAUAAUGACGGUACCCGGAGAAGAAGCCCCGGCUAACUUCGUGCCAGCCGCCGCAGUAA